Molecule: long non-coding RNA, 314 nt
Organism: Mya arenaria
Lineage: Eukaryota; Metazoa; Mollusca; Bivalvia; Myida; Myidae
Exons: 3
Source: RefSeq, a predicted model, not a curated record
ACUACCUGACCAUGAGGUGGAUGAAAAACUUAUACCAAGGGACCAACCCUGCUCAAAACUAACCAUUUUGAAGAAGUUGCUCAAGGUCAAGACACAUCAGAUGGAGUUGACACCUUCUCUGAAGAAACUGCAUAAGCUUAUGCGUUCCCCAUCCCCAACAGGAGCCGUGGACAAAUCCACUCACUUGGUCACAGAGAAGCACCUUCUGUAUGAUGUCAUCUCUAAGCUGAUAAAGGCUCAGGAGGAGUCAGACACGAUUAAAGAUUACCUGCAGCAUCCAGAGAAGUCACAAUGUGAGACCCCUGAUAUGUUGA